This 468-nucleotide ribosomal RNA is filed under the name uncultured bacterium. RNAcentral describes it as "partial 16S ribosomal RNA". It matches the Rfam family "Bacterial small subunit ribosomal RNA", at positions 28 to 507 of the family's 1533-position model. The record is from RNAcentral.
GACGAACGCUGGCGGCGUGCUUAACACAUGCAAGUCGAACGGAGAGGCCCUGCUUUUGUGGGGUGCUCGAGUGGCGAACGGGUGAGUAACACGUGAGUAACCUGCCCUUGACUUUGGGAUAACUUCAGGAAACUGGGGCUAAUACCGGAUAGGAGCUCCUGCUGCAUGGUGGGGGUUGGAAAGUUUCGGCGGUUGGGGAUGGACUCGCGGCUUAUCAGCUUGUUGGUGGGGUAGUGGCUUACCAAGGCUUUGACGGGUAGCCGGCCUGAGAGGGUGACCGGCCACAUUGGGACUGAGAUACGGCCCAGACUCCUACGGGAGGCAGCAGUGGGGAAUAUUGCACAAUGGGCGGAAGCAUGAUGCAGCAACGCCGCGUGCGGGAUGACGGCCUUCGGGUUGUAAACCGCUUUCGCCUGUGACGAAGCGUGAGUGACGGUAAUGGGUAAAGAAGCACCGGCUAACUACGUG